This 523-nucleotide ribosomal RNA is filed under the name Bifidobacterium longum subsp. infantis. RNAcentral describes it as "bacterial SSU rRNA". It matches the Rfam family "Bacterial small subunit ribosomal RNA", at positions 171 to 711 of the family's 1533-position model. The record is from RNAcentral. Lineage: Bacteria; Bacillati; Actinomycetota; Actinomycetes; Bifidobacteriales; Bifidobacteriaceae.
GGGUGGAUCGCUGAUCGCAUGGUCUUCUGGGAAGCUUUCGCGGUAUGGGAUGGGGUCGCGUCCUAUCAGCUUGACGGCGGGGUAACGGCCCACCGUGGCUUCGACGGGUAGCCGGCCUGAGAGGGCGACCGGCCACAUUGGGACUGAGAUACGGCCCAGACUCCUACGGGAGGCAGCAGUGGGGAAUAUUGCACAAUGGGCGCAAGCCUGAUGCAGCGACGCCGCGUGAGGGAUGGAGGCCUUCGGGUUGUAAACCUCUUUUAUCGGGGAGCAAGCGAGAGUGAGUUUACCCGUUGAAUAAGCACCGGCUAACUACGUGCCAGCAGCCGCGGUAAUACGUAGGGUGCAAGCGUUAUCCGGAAUUAUUGGGCGUAAAGGGCUCGUAGGCGGUUCGUCGCGUCCGGUGUGAAAGUCCAUCGCUUAACGGUGGAUCCGCGCCGGGUACGGGCGGGCUUGAGUGCGGUAGGGGAGACUGGAAUUCCCGGUGUAACGGUGGAAUGUGUAGAUAUCGGAAAGAACACCA